CUUUACUGUAGCUUGAAAUUGAAUUCGGGUUUAUCAUGCGCAGCAUAGGUGGGAGGCUAAGAUAAUAUGUUUGCGGAUGUAUAGGAGCCAACAGUGAGAUACCACUCUUGAUAGGCUAGAUUUCUAAUUCUAUAUUCCAUUAUCUGGAUAGAAGACAGUUUCAGGUAGGCAGUUUGACUGGGGCGGUCGCCUCCUAAAAAGUAACGGAGGCGCGCAAAGGUUUCCUCAGACUGGUUGGAAAUCAGUCGUAGAGUGUAAAGGUAUAAGGAAGCUUGACUGCAAGACUUACAAGUCGAGCAGAGACGAAAGUCGGCCUUAGUGAUCCGACAGUACCGAGUGGAAGGGCUGUCGCUCAACGGAUAAAAGUUA
RNAcentral lists this ribosomal RNA (369 nucleotides) under Arthrocardia sp. ARS-2011. Its description in RNAcentral is "bacterial LSU rRNA". It matches the Rfam family "Bacterial large subunit ribosomal RNA", at positions 2099 to 2465 of the family's 2925-position model. The record is from RNAcentral. Lineage: Eukaryota; Rhodophyta; Florideophyceae; Corallinales; Corallinaceae.